UACGGGGGGGGCUAGCGUUGUUCGGAAUUACUGGGCGUAAAGGGCUCGUAGGUGGCCAACUAAGUCAUGCGUGAAAUCCCUCGGCUUAACCGGGGAACUGCGUCUGAUACUGGAUGGCUUGAAUCCGGGAGAGGGAUGCGGAAUUCCAGGUGUAGCGGUGAAAUGCGUAGAUAUCCGGAGGAACACCGGUGGCGAAGGCGGCUUCCUGGACCGAUACUGACGCUGAGGCGCGAAAGCUAGGGGAGCAAACGGG
RNAcentral lists this ribosomal RNA (253 nucleotides) under uncultured bacterium. RNAcentral's name for it is "partial 16S ribosomal RNA". It matches the Rfam family "Bacterial small subunit ribosomal RNA", at positions 524 to 776 of the family's 1533-position model. The record is from RNAcentral.